Molecule: ribosomal RNA, 941 nt
Filed under: Bacillus sp. CECRI-28/07
Lineage: Bacteria; Bacillati; Bacillota; Bacilli; Caryophanales; Bacillaceae
Description: bacterial SSU rRNA
Rfam family: Bacterial small subunit ribosomal RNA
Source: RNAcentral
ACAGCUGUUUGAUCCUGGCUCAGUAGGUCGUAACAAGGUAACCAGUAUUGGAUCCUCUAGAGUUUGAUCCUGGGUCAAUAAGACUGAACAAGGUAACCAGAAUUGGAUCCCCUACAGUUUGAUCCUGGGUCCCGAAAGGUUCGAAAUUGAAAGGCGGCUUCGGCCCCUACUUAUGGAUGGACCCGCGUCGCAUUAGCUAGUUGGUGAGGUAACGGCUCACCAAGGCAACGAUGCGUAGCCGACCUGAGAGGGUGAUCGGCCACACUGGGACUGAGACACGGCCCAGACUCCUACGGGAGGCAGCAGUAGGGAAUCUUCCGCAAUGGACGAAAGUCUGACGGAGCAACGCCGCGUGAGUGAUGAAGGCUUUCGGGUCGUAAAACUCUGUUGUUAGGGAAGAACAAGUGCUAGUUGAAUAAGCUGGCACCUUGACGGUACCUAACCAGAAAGCCACGGCUAACUACGUGCCAGCAGCCGCGGUAAUACGUAGGUGGCAAGCGUUAUCCGGAAUUAUUGGGCGUAAAGCGCGCGCAGGUGGUUUCUUAAGUCUGAUGUGAAAGCCCACGGCUCAACCGUGGAGGGUCAUUGGAAACUGGGAGACUUGAGUGCAGAAGAGGAAAGUGGAAUUCCAUGUGUAGCGGUGAAAUGCGUAGAGAUAUGGAGGAACACCAGUGGCGAAGGCGACUUUCUGGUCUGUAACUGACACUGAGGCGCGAAAGCGUGGGGAGCAAACAGGAUUAGAUAUCCUGGUAGUCCACGCCGUAAACGAUGAGUGCUAAGUGUUAGAGGGUUUCCGCCCUUUAGUGCUGAAGUUAACGCAUUAAGCACUCCGCCUGGGGAGUACGGCCGCAAGGCUGAAACUCAAAGGAAUUGACGGGGGGUUCUUAAGUUUGAUGUGAAAGCCCACAUUGGAAACUGGGAGACUUGAGUGCGGAAGGGGA